Molecule: long non-coding RNA, 4110 nt
Organism: Pygocentrus nattereri (red-bellied piranha)
Lineage: Eukaryota; Metazoa; Chordata; Actinopteri; Characiformes; Serrasalmidae
Source: Ensembl
AUGAAAUUUAGUAAAUUGUUGCUGUUCAAAGAAAAACAAGUAUCUCAAAAAAUGGCACCUUUACAGGAGAGAACCAAAAAAACAACGUCGAUGAAGAUGAAGAAGACGUUUCAGAUUUACCACGACCCUAUCUGGACCGAGCGGUUAACGCUGAUGAAGAUGAAGAUGAAGAAGACGUUUCAGAUUUACCACGACCCUAUCUGGACUGAGCGGUUAACGCCGAUGAAGAUGAAGAUGAAGAAGACGUUUCAGAUUUACCGCGACCCUAUCUGGACCGAGCGGUUAACGCCGAUGAAGAUGAAGAAGACGUUACAGAUUUACCGCGACCCUAUCUGGACCGAGCGGUUAACGACGAUGAAGAUGAAGAAGACGUUACAGAUUUACCACGACCCUAUCUGGACCGAGCGGUUAACGCUGAUGAAGAUGAAGAUGAAGAAGACGUUUCAGAUUUACCGCGACCCUAUCUGGACCGAGCGGUUAACGCUGAUGAAGAUGAAGAUGAAGAAGACGUUUCAGAUUUACCGCGACCCUAUCUGGACCGAGCGGUUAACGCUGAUGAAGAUGAAGAUGAAGAAGACGUUUCAGAUUUACCACGACCCUAUCUGGACUGAGCGGUUAACGCCGAUGAAGAUGAAGAUGAAGAUGAAGAAGACGUUUCAGAUUUACCACGACCCUAUCUGGACUGAGCGGUUAACGCUGAUGAAGAUGAAGAUGAAGAAGACGUUACAGAUUUACCACGACCCUAUCUGGACCGAGCGGUUAACGCCGAUGAAGAUGAAGAUGAAGAAGACGUUACAGAUUUACCACGACCCUAUCUGGACCGAGCGGUUAACGCUGAUGAAGAUGAAGAAGACGUUUCAGAUUUCCUUCCAAGCAAUUUUGGACCAUUUCUGUUGGUCCAGUCAUCAAAUAAAAGAAAAAUGCAGAUGUUUUUCUUUGGACAGCAGCAAAAUAUGUGAUGUCUGGAACUUUGUUCUUCAGAAAGCUCAUAAGACCUGUUUUGUUAAAAAGGGACUGUAUGUAAAUUUUUUACUGUUAUUUGCAUUUAUUCUAAUGACCGCUGGUGAUUUUACAGACAAUGCGCUCUUGUUCCCGAAACCUUUGCACAGUACUGUACGUACAGCCUUACGCAAAACUGACCACCCCCAUCAGCAGCACCUGCGAUUUGACACACACUCAGUCUUUCCUUCUCUCACACACCCUCUCUCUUUUAUUUCUCUCCCUCGUUCUUUCUGGUUCUUUUCACCUCCGUUUUAUUUCCAAGGUUUAUUCACUGUAGCACAGACCCUCUUUGCUUUUCUGUAUUUCUGUCUUUUUUCCCGUUAUCUCUUUCUUUCUUUUGUUUUUUUCUCUCUGUUUUUCUUCUCUAAGCCUGUAGCACUCUUUCACGCCCCCCUCAUCACCUCUGAACACUAGUGUUUUGCACUUUUGUGAUGCUUCUGAUCUGUACUUGAGCUUUUUUAGCACCAAAGAAGGGAGUGACCCCAUCCAAUAAGAGGCGCCAGCCACUCGUGUGCUUUUAACACAGUAACUCAGGGUUUGCUUUGUAAACCAUAAGAGAACCUCCACCCGGCGCUGCUGCAGCCCAGCGCCGGCCCAGCUCACGCCAUGUCUUUAUGACUGCUUCGCGGCUGUCUGCAGAUCAUUGCAUUUUAGAGAAUGUAACCUGUCGUGUCUCCUGAUUAUUUAAAGGACACAAAUGAAGAGUUUGAUGUAAUAAGCACUGUUCAGCUUUCAGAAAGCUGCCACUUCACCAGUCCACACAGUGAAUAUACACUCACAGCCACUUUAUUAGGUAAAAGGCUGGACCCCCUUUUCCCUUCAGAACUGUCUUAAUUCUUCAUGGCAGACUUUCAACAAGGUGUUGGAAACGUUCCUCAGAGAUUCUGGUUGGUUAUUUGAGUUCCUGCUGCCUUUCUAUCAUCUGGAACCAGACUGCCCAUUCUCCUCUGACCUCUCACAUCAACAAGGCAUUUUCGUCCACACAACUGACCGCUCACUGGAUAUUUCCUCUUUUUUGGACCGUUCUCUGUAAACCCUAGAGAUGGUUGUGUGUGAAAAUCCCAGCAGAUCAGCAGUUUCUGAAAUACUCAGACCAGCCCGUCUGGCACCAACAACCACGCCACGUUCAAAGCCCCUUAAAUCCCCUUUCUUCCCCGUUCUGAUGCUCGGUCUGCACUUCAGCAAGUUGUCUUGACCACCUCUACAUGCCUAAAUGCAGUGAGCUGCAGCCGUGUGAUUGGCUGAUUAGCUAUUUGUGUUAACAAGCAACUGAACCUAAUAAAGUGGCCGGUGAGUGUAUAACACUAGGCUGCAAAAGUGACCUCAUAGUUUUUGUGAUGUCAUAGCAAACAAAAGCAUUUACAUACUGUGCUGUCAGAGCAAAACCUCGUAUCUCCAAAACAGUGACUUUACAGGAGAAGGAAAAAACCUGCUUCACUUUUAAUGGAAGUCAAUGGAACCAGAAUUUUUUUACAGGUCAGUUUCUUUUGGUCCAAUCAUCAUGAAACCUACACACAAUAUAAAGAUCAACAGAUACUUUCAAAUUAUGUCAAGAACUGAAAAAUGGCAAAAAUGGAGUUACGAGGUUUUGUUCCGACAACAGCGACAUACACAGCUGUUCAGCCUCCAGCUGUUUAGCCCCGCCCACUCACCUCCGCCGUUGAAUGUUUGUGAAUAAGGCGGCUUUCUGAAUCCAGAUUAUCGUUUCAUUUUAGAGAAUGUAACGUGUCGUGUCCCACGUGAUUGUUUAAAGGACACAUAUAAGGGAAAUCCAGAUUUUUCAAAAUAAGAGUUUUACGUAAUUUGUAAACAUUGUUAUAAUUUCAAAAAACGUACCACUUUCAUACUCCAUGCAGUCCAUAUUUGAAACUAUGCUGCAAAAGCAACUUCAUGGUAUUUGUGAUGUCAUAAUGACCCAAAGCAUUUACAUAUACACAGCUGUUCCACCUACUGCAGUUUAGCCGCCGCCCACUCAUUUUAGUGUGAAUGUUUGUGAAUAAGGCUGCUUUCUGAAUCCAGAUUAUCGUUUAAUUUUAGUUUCAACUUUUGUUUAAAGGACGCAUAUAAGGGAAAUCCAGAUUUUUCAAAAUAAGAGUUUGAUGUGGUAUGCAAACAUUACAUUUUCACUUCAGAGAAUGCGAACUGUCGUGACCCACGUGAUCUUUUAAGGGUCACGUGUGAAGAAAAAUCUAAAUAAGAGUUUGAUGUAAUAAGUAAACAUUGUUAAAUGUUAAAAAACCAUAUCCCUUCACCAGUCCAUACAGUGAAUAUAUAACUCUAAGCUGCGAAAACAACCUCGUGGUGUUUGUGAUGUCAUAACAACCCAACACAUUUACAUAUAUACAGCUGUUCAGCCUACAGCUGUUUAGCCAGGCCCACUCACUUCAGUGUGAAUGUUUUGAAUGAAGACUGCUUUCUGAAUGAGGCGCAAUACAGGCCGGCCAAUCAGAACAGAGUUCCUUUACAUAUAUCACUCUUAAAGGCGCAGUAACAAAUAAAAUCAGUUUAAUUGUGAGGGAAGUUUUAAGUGCACUUUAAGAACAGAAAAGGGAAAAUUGUAUUUGGCUUGCUUGUGUGCAGCAUUAUGAGGGUCUGUGGGGGUCUAUACAGGGUCUUCACCUUCACUCAUACUGUGAGUAUGACCUGCCGCUGCGCGAUAGAUGCUCUGGGAAAAUGACUCGGAUGCACUCAAACAGGGAAGCGUUUUUGGGAAAAGUGGCGGGAUGAUGGUAGAAGUGUGCAUAAACGUUAAGUGUGAUUCUUAUAAUCAAGUUGUCGUAAAAGAGUCUGUUAAGUUUUUAAUCUGCUUUUUUAAAACAGAAAACAGUUAUAUCAGAAACGAUGCUGACCUGCAUAUGUUUACAAUCACAUCACCUGUAAUCAGAGGAACAUGACCACCUGCCGAUGAUGCACUGAUGUUGAUUUUUUAAUGAUAUUUAUAUACCUGUUUUACUUAAUUAAACGCUUUACGCUUCAACCUGUUGGUCUAAAAAUGGAUUUCUUGCGUUUUGCGCUUUCUUUGUGGAAGAUGGAACUGAAACAGCAGUAGGUGACCACUAGGGGGCGAAUGUGUCCUCAGAUUAAUGUCCACCAUGAACUUGAAUAGGC